GACAGAGGGUGCAAACGUUGUUCGGAAUUACUGGGCGUAAAGCGCGUGUAGGCGGCUUGGCAAGUCGGAUGUGAAAGCCCUGGGCUCAACUCAGGAAGUGCAUUCGAAACUGCCGAGCUUGAGUUCCGGAGAGGAAAGCGGAAUUCUCGGUGUAGAGGUGAAAUUCGUAGAUAUCGAGAGGAACAUCGGUGGCGAAGGCGGCUUUCUGGACGGCAACUGACGCUGAGACGCGAAAGCGUGGGGAGCAAACAGG
RNAcentral lists this unclassified non-coding RNA (253 nucleotides) under uncultured Myxococcales bacterium. Its description in RNAcentral is "contains 16S-23S intergenic spacer region". It matches the Rfam family "Bacterial small subunit ribosomal RNA", at positions 524 to 776 of the family's 1533-position model. Lineage: Bacteria; Pseudomonadati; Myxococcota; Myxococcia; Myxococcales. The record is from RNAcentral.